Long non-coding RNA from Saccostrea echinata, 290 nucleotides. RefSeq lists it as uncharacterized. The transcript has 3 exons. The record is from RefSeq and is a predicted model, not a curated record. Lineage: Eukaryota; Metazoa; Mollusca; Bivalvia; Ostreida; Ostreidae.
CAGAAUUGUUUCAAGAACAGUCUGAAUCCGACAUGGAAAAAAUGAAGAAAAACAGCCUUCCUGUUUAUAAAUCUACAUUCUGACAAAGGAUCAUUUCCUUGAGAUAGGUGGAACCAACAGUCAAAUACAGACACUUUUAAGAAAAGUAAAAAUCUGGCUCAGGUAAGAAAGAAAUUCAGGAGUUCUUAAAUUGCCCUUGGAGUUCUUGGAUUGCAUCAAACUGCUAAAAGACCUCAACAAAAACAGCGUCUUGAAAAUAAAAAUGAAAAUAUUCAGUGAAAAAAAAUUAU